RNAcentral lists this ribosomal RNA (253 nucleotides) under uncultured bacterium. RNAcentral's name for it is "partial 16S ribosomal RNA". It matches the Rfam family "Bacterial small subunit ribosomal RNA", at positions 524 to 776 of the family's 1533-position model. The record is from RNAcentral.
UACGUAGGUGGCAAGCGUUAUCCGGAAUUAUUGGGCGUAAGGCGCGCGUAGGCGGUUGUUUAAGUCUGAUGUGAAAGCCCACGGCUCAACCAUGGAGGGGCAGUGGAAACUGGAAAACUUGAGUGCAGAAGAGGAAAGUGGAAUUCCAUGUGUAGCGGUGAAAUGCGCAGAGAUAUGGAGGAACACCAGUGGCGAGGGCGACUUUCUGGGCUGUAACUGACGCUGAUGUGCGAAAGCGUGGGGAGCAAACAGG